AGGACGAACGCUGGCGGCGUGCUUAAUACAUGCAAGUUGAGCGGAGCUAAUAGUGAGUUACUUAUUAUUAGUCGAGCAGCGGACGGGUGAGUAACGCGUGGGCAAUCUGCCCUCUAGUUUGGGAUAACAGUUCGAAAGGACUGCUAACACCGAAUAAUCUUAAAAUUUGGGCAUCUAAAUUUAAGGAAAGUUAACGCUAGAGGAUGAGCCCGCGUCCCAUUAGCUAGUUGGUGAGGUAACGGCCCACCAAGGCAACGAUGGGUAGCCGACCUGAGAGGGUGACCGGCCACACUGGGACUGAGACACGGCCCAGACUCCUACGGGAGGCAGCAGUAGGGAAUUUUCCGCAAUGGACGAAAAAGUCUGACGGAGCAACGCCGCGUGAGGGAUGAAGGUUUUCGGAUCGUAAACCUCUGUCCUUGGGGAAGAUAAUGACGGUACCCAAGGAGGAAGCCACGGCUAGCUACGUGCCAGCAGCGGC
This 481-nucleotide ribosomal RNA is filed under the name uncultured bacterium. RNAcentral describes it as "bacterial SSU rRNA". It matches the Rfam family "Bacterial small subunit ribosomal RNA", at positions 26 to 518 of the family's 1533-position model. The record is from RNAcentral.